This 504-nucleotide ribosomal RNA is filed under the name uncultured bacterium. RNAcentral's name for it is "partial 16S ribosomal RNA". It matches the Rfam family "Bacterial small subunit ribosomal RNA", at positions 30 to 523 of the family's 1533-position model. The record is from RNAcentral.
AUUGAACGCUGGCGGCAUGCCUUACACAUGCAAGUCGAACGGCAGCAUGGAGAGCUUGCUCUCUGAUGGCGAGUGGCGAACGGGUGAGUAAUGCAUCGGAACGUACCGUGUAAUGGGGGAUAACGUAGCGAAAGUUACGCUAAUACCGCAUACGACCUGAGGGCGAAAGCAGGGGAUCGCAAGACCUUGCGUUAUACGAGCGGACGAUGUCAGAUUAGCUAGUUGGUGAGGUAAAGGCUCACCAAGGCGACGAUCUGUAGCGGGUCUGAGAGGAGGAUCCGCCACACUGGGACUGAGACACGGCCCAGACUCCUACGGGAGGCAGCAGUGGGGAAUUUUGGACAAUGGGGGCAACCCUGAUCCAGCCAUGCCGCGUGAGUGAAGAAGGCCUUCGGGUUGUAAAGCUCUUUCGGCCGGGAAGAAAUCGCACAGGCUAAUACUCUGUGUGGAUGACGGUACCGGCAUAAGAAGCACCGGCUAACUACGUGCCAGCCGCCGCAGUAA